CCUACGGGAGGCAGCAGUGAGGAAUAUUGGUCAAUGGACGAGAGUCUGAACCAGCCAAGUAGCGUGAAGGAUGACUGCCCUAUGGGUUGUAAACUUCUUUUAUAAAGGAAUAAAACGAGGCACGUGUGCCUUUUUGCAUGUACUUUAUGAAUAAGGAUAGGUUAACUCCGUGCCAGCAGCCUCGGUAAUACGGAGGAUCCGAGCGUUAUCCGGAUUUUUUGGGUUUAAAGGGAGAGUAGAUGGGUUGUUAAGUCAGUUGUGAAAGUUUGCGGCGCAACCGUAGAAUUGCACUUGAUACUGGCAGUCUUGAGUACAGAUGAGGUAGGCGGAAUUCGUGGUGUAGCGGUGAAAUGCUUAGAUAUCACGAAGAACCCCGAUUGCGAAGGCAGCUUACUAAGCUGUGACUGACACUGAGGCUCGAAAGUGUGGGUAUCAAACAGGAUUAGAUACCCGAGUAGUC
This 460-nucleotide ribosomal RNA is filed under the name uncultured bacterium. RNAcentral's name for it is "partial 16S ribosomal RNA". It matches the Rfam family "Bacterial small subunit ribosomal RNA", at positions 338 to 795 of the family's 1533-position model. The record is from RNAcentral.